GUUGCACACCGUUAGAACCCAGCGUUGUCCUGACAGUGCUGUGUUGGGUGUAGGAUGUGUGCUACAGAAACGCAGGGCCUUUUUCAACCACUUCCUCUGUCAAUGGGGUAAGAUGGAGGAAUCGGCUAUAAGCCUUGCUACAUAA
Hucho hucho (huchen) is the source of this 145-nucleotide small nucleolar RNA. NCBI's taxonomy places the organism in Eukaryota, Metazoa, Chordata, Actinopteri, Salmoniformes, Salmonidae. The record is from Ensembl.